This 1349-nucleotide ribosomal RNA is filed under the name Dendropoma gregarium. RNAcentral describes it as "LSU rRNA". The stretch from base 697 to 1349 matches the Rfam family "Archaeal large subunit ribosomal RNA", at positions 1423 to 2781 of the family's 2987-position model. Lineage: Eukaryota; Metazoa; Mollusca; Gastropoda; Littorinimorpha; Vermetidae. The record is from RNAcentral.
UAGUUGUUGUUUUAGAAGAAUUGCUGAGAAAUUAGGUGGUGAUGAUUUGUUAGUAGUUAUAAGUGAAAAAUAGAUAAGGGAAAGAUAAUAGUACUGUGUGGGAAAAUAAUAAUAAAAUAAAAAGUAGUGCUUAGUGUAUGUACCUUUUGCAUCAUGGUUUAGCAAGAUAGAAGUAUUAGAUAUAGAUGUUUCUCGAAGCCUGACGAGCGUCCUUUUUGUUAUAUUUAGUAUAAAACCUUGCUUAUGUGGCACUAUGAGGAGGAAAUAAAAAGGAAGUGUUGAAACUUUAUUCGUGUCGGGGGAUAGCUAGUUUUUUCGAAAAUACAUAUUAGUGUAUCGGCUGUAGUUAUAACUAAGCCUAUUGAGAUUUACUACGACGUAAGAUAUGGGCAUUAAGUUACUAUAUUACCGACAGGCAUUGGAGGCUAAGCUCUGAUGUUGAUAAAAUCGUACAUGUGUACUUAUACUUUAGAGGAGGGUGACUUAAAACUAGUAUACCUGUAAUCCGUAUGUUAUAAUUGACUCCCUAAUAAUUGCUUGUAGUCAAGAUAGAGUUACGUAUAUCAUAAAAAGGACGAAAAUACCUACUAAAAUAUGUGAGUGUGAAAAAAAUGCUAGGAUGAGUAUUAUUAUGUGAUCAUUUGGAUAAUUAAAUCAUUCUAUCUACAGGAAUAAUGUGUUAGUUUAGUUUAGAAAUAAUAUUUGAAUAUAUUUAGUAAAGGAAUUCGGCAAACGGAACCUCCGCCUGUAUAACAAAAACAUGGCUCUUUGUCACAGCUAUAAAGAGUCUGACCUGCUCUAUGAUUUAUUUGAUUAAAUGGCCGCGGUACCCUGACCGUGCAAAGGUAGCAUAAUCACUUGCCUUUUAAUUGGAGGCUGGUAUGAAUGGUUGGACGGGAGGUUGACUGUCUCUACUAAAUUAUGAGAAUUUAAUUUGUAGGUUCAAAAGCCUAUAUCAAAUUAAAAGACGAGAAGACCCUAGCGAGCUUAAUUCUAGCCUGUGAGGAAUACGAAUCAUUGGGAGAUUUUGGUUGGGGCGACUAAGGAAGACAGAGCAUCCUUGUAUCCUACUUAAAUGAUGGUUUUAGAUCCAAGUUAUAUUGAGUGACAGGUGAGCUACCGUAGGGAUAACAGCGUAAUCUUUUUAGAGAGUUCAAAUCGAAAAAAGGGUUUGCGACCUCGAUGUUGGACUAGGGUAUCCUGAGGGUGCAGAAGCUCUUAAGGGUUGGUCUGUUCGACCAUUAAUACCCUACAUGAUCUGAGUUCAGACCGGCGUGAGCCAGGUCAGUUUCUAUCUUUAAUUAAGUACUUACGACUAGUACGAAAGGACCGACGUAAGUGAACUUUUC